Trematomus bernacchii (emerald rockcod) is the source of this 2777-nucleotide RNA transcript. It is a transcript of the gene named DnaJ (Hsp40) homolog, subfamily C, member 5 gamma a, with no coding region annotated. The record is from RefSeq and is a predicted model, not a curated record. Lineage: Eukaryota; Metazoa; Chordata; Actinopteri; Perciformes; Nototheniidae. The transcript is spliced from 7 exons.
ACACACGAAGAAGAAGGAGAAAAGGAAGAAGAAGAGGCGACCCGGCGGCCACAGCACUAUUCAUUCAUAAACCCAUCCUUUAACUGAGGACUAAGACAUUACACCGAAUGCCUCUAUGAUCCAGCUAACCCUACAGCGAGAUAUACAGUGUUCAGUUUUCACAAGAGGUGAGCCAUGGCUGAACCGACUGCCCCCCGCCCCCAGAGGAAGAUGUCCACCGCUGGGGAGAGUGUGUACAAAGUGCUCGGGCUGGAGAAAGGAGCCACAGCUGAAGACAUAAAGAAAGCAUACAGGAAACUAGCUCUGAAGUACCACCCGGAUAAAAACCCCGACAACCCGGACGCAGCGGAGAAGUUUAAGGAGAUCAACAACGCCAACUCGAUCCUGAACGAUGAGACGAAGAGGAAGAUCUACAACGAGUACGGCUCCAUGGGCCUGUACGUGUCGGAGCAGUUCGGAGAGGAGAGCGUCAAAUAUUACUUCCUCAUGUCCAAAUGGUGGUUCAAGGGUAUGGUUCUGUGCUGCACGAUGUUCUCCUGCUGCUGCUGUUGCUGCUGCUGCUGUUUCUGCUGCGGGAAAUGUAAACCGCCCGACGACGAAGAAAGCUACCAGUACGUCAACCCCGAAGACCUGGAGGCUCAGAUCAAGGCGGAGCAGGACGGAGGUUACACAGUAAUCAUAAGCCAGCCUAAAUCGAAUCUGGAUCCAGAAAGUGCAGAGGGCCAGAGUCAGCCCAUCCCUCUGCCGAUGCCCAUGCCUCCCCCCGAGUCCCAAACCUCACCCAGUGCAGCGGGGGAGGAAAACCCCGGAGAGACCCUCCCAGAGUCCAAAUGACUCGUAAGAGCCGCCUCGUCUAAUUUAAAGGAAAGUGACCGUGCUGAAGAGCCUCGACUAGCGGAAGCAGCCUUUGGACCCCCCGCCUAUGAUCCACAUCCGAUCCACCAUCCAGACCCUCACCUCCAUCCUGACCUCUCCACCAGCCUGAUCCACCCACCAGACAACACCCGUAAAGGUGGGCUCUGAAAGCCACUCGGCCCCCUCCAUGGAACUCAAGUUAUGGAGGAGUAUUCAAAUUAAACUUCUGCAUGGGCUCUGAAAAUCUCUUAAGUCCCGUUUCCACUUCCAGCCUCUCACCUGGCUCAGAUGUGAUUUUUUCGCCAACAGUUUGAAUCAUCCUGGGCUCGGCUUGGCAAAACAUUCCUGGUACUUAUCUGUUCUUAACCUCCCAUUACACCCACUAAGGAUGUGACACUGGGCUUCAAGAUGGCACCAACAGAGGGCUAGAUACAUCAUUUAUCCGCUCUCAACACCAGGACUGGUUUUAAACGUCUCCUGCGUCACCCUCCAUUUCGGACGUUUGGAGCCUUUCCUUUUUACAUUUCUUCCCCUUUAACUUGUCUUGGAGUUUUCCUCCAAAAAAGAAAAACUAACAGGGUUUUUGGGGAUGUGGAAUUUGAUGCUAUUUGUGACGUUUACAUCAGAAGCCAGCAGCACGACGACGUGGGUGUGGAGGAUUUCCUUUUUAUUUCCUCUCCAUCUUCCUUAAGUCGAACAAUUGCAUUCAGUUACUUGUUGCAUUAACACCUUUCAAACAAGCUCUGUGCGUUGGUUCAGAAUAUCCUUUUGAAGAAAACAUUUUGAAUCUGGAGGCGUCUACAUUUCUCAUGAACGUAGGAAACUGAGGAGGUGGGGGGGACAGAAGACAUGUGACGCAGCAGCAGAGACUGCCUGACUUACUGCUGGAUUAAGAUUUUGAUGUUUUAAUGUCUGAGCCAAAACCUGGAGCUGGAGCUUUGCAGCAUGGAUCGGGAGUCGAGUCUUUCCUCCCCAACAUGCAUGCAUUUUUUCCCCUGAAUGCAUGCCAACCCAUUCUGUACAGCACUGGAAUACUACAGUCUACAAUUCAUCACACAACACAUGAAGAACUAUCUACAUGCAGACUCUGGUUACACACACACGCACACGCACACGCACACGCACACGCACACGCACACGGAGACAAAGACACACACACACGCACAGAUAAACCACACAUAAAUGUAGUACAUACACAGACAAAAACACACAUAGACAUACACACACCACACAAAUAAUAAGAUAAUACACACCUAAUACACACAGAUAAACCACACGUACAUUUAGUAUAUACACAGACAAACCCCCCCACACACACACACACACACACACACACACACCACACAAAUAAUAAGAUCAGACACACAUACUCUCACCCACAGAUGAUACACACUCUCACACACACACACACACACACACACACACACUCUCUUACCAGCCCGUAUGUCAUCGUGUGCCAUCCUUGGGUAAAAAAAAAAAAAAAAACUAAAAUAAUCUACGGACUAAAUGGACAAUAACAGAUAACAUUUUAUUACUUAGUCAUGUGUUGUUAGGUCGUUGCGCUCCUUGCAGUCAGACUAUAUGUUAGCCAACAGCUCCAUGUAGUCAGCCAUCCCAUAAUAAUCUCUGGAAACGCCAUUUCCUCUGUAAGCCACAGUUCAGUUUGUCAAAGUUGUUUGCACAUUAUGCAUUUGGAGUCUCUGCACCUUGCAAAGCGGGUCUGUUAACAAUACACUUGGGUUUCUUUUAAUCUUUUAAACUCGGUUCAGGGUGUUUCAUCUUUUAUUUGUAAGCUCUUAUUACCAGAGCAACACGUAAAACAUCCACUAACUAUCUAUACUCUCAGGUCCAGAUUCACUUAGACUGCAUUGCAAGGGGAAUCAUAUCUAAGUGUAUUAAAACGCAGUUACUUAUUAAUAGCA